UACGUAGGGCGCAAGCGUUGUCCGGAAUUAUUGGGCGUAAAGAGCGCGUAGGCGGUCUGUCGCGUCGGGAGUGAAAUCUUACAGCUUAACUGUGAACUUGCUUUCGAUACGGGCAGACUUGAGGCAUUCAGGGGAGAACGGAAUUCCUGGUGUAGCGGUGAAAUGCGCAGAUAUCAGGAGGAACACCGGUGGCGAAGGCGGUUCUCUGGGAAUGUCCUGACGCUGAGGAGCGAAAGUGUGGGGAGCGAACAGG
RNAcentral lists this ribosomal RNA (253 nucleotides) under uncultured bacterium. Its description in RNAcentral is "partial 16S ribosomal RNA". It matches the Rfam family "Bacterial small subunit ribosomal RNA", at positions 524 to 776 of the family's 1533-position model. The record is from RNAcentral.